CAGACGUCUACCUGGACAUGGAUCACCUGCUGAUGCUGUUGCUGCUGCUGUGGAGCUCAGGACUCCAGGCUGAAGAUAAACACCAAUCAACAGG
Molecule: long non-coding RNA, 94 nt
Organism: Thunnus maccoyii (southern bluefin tuna)
Lineage: Eukaryota; Metazoa; Chordata; Actinopteri; Scombriformes; Scombridae
Exons: 2
Source: RefSeq, a predicted model, not a curated record